GAGUGGACGCUGGCGGUAGGCCUAACACAUGCAAGUCGAACGGCAGCACAGUAAGAGCUUGCUCUUACGGGUGGCGAGUGGCGGACGGGUGAGGAAUACAUCGGAAUCUACUUUUUCGUGGGGGAUAACGUAGGGAAACUUACGCUAAUACCGCAUACGACCUACGGGUGAAAGCAGGGGAUCUUCGGACCUUGCGCGAUUGAAUGAGCCGAUGUCGGAUUAGCUAGUUGGCGGGGUAAAGGCCCACCAAGGCGACGAUCCGUAGCUGGUCUGAGAGGAUGAUCAGCCACACUGGAACUGAGACACGGUCCAGACUCCUAAGGGAGGCAGCAGUGGGGAAUAUUGGACAAUGGGCGGAAGCCUGAUCCAGCCAUACCGCGUGGGUGAAGAAGGCCUUCGGGUUGUAAAGCCCUUUUGUUGGGAAAGAAAAGCAGCAGGUUAAUACCCCGCUGUUCUGACGGUACCCAAAGAAUAAGCACCGGCUAACUUCGUG
This 493-nucleotide ribosomal RNA is filed under the name uncultured bacterium. Its description in RNAcentral is "partial 16S ribosomal RNA". It matches the Rfam family "Bacterial small subunit ribosomal RNA", at positions 27 to 507 of the family's 1533-position model. The record is from RNAcentral.